This 97-nucleotide transfer RNA is filed under the name Actinokineospora sp. NBRC 105648. Its description in RNAcentral is "tRNA-Leu". The record is from RNAcentral. Lineage: Bacteria; Bacillati; Actinomycetota; Actinomycetes; Pseudonocardiales; Pseudonocardiaceae.
UGCGGGCCCGGGCCGCGUUGCGCGGCGGGGUGGACAGGUCACCCCAGUCCGCGGCGGACUGGACGGGGCGGUCGGCGCCGACACCGUCGGGCCGCAG